This 253-nucleotide ribosomal RNA is filed under the name uncultured bacterium. RNAcentral's name for it is "partial 16S ribosomal RNA". It matches the Rfam family "Bacterial small subunit ribosomal RNA", at positions 524 to 776 of the family's 1533-position model. The record is from RNAcentral.
UACGUAGGGGGCAAGCGUUGUCCGGAAUCACUGGGCGUAAAGCGCGCGCAGGCGGCUAUCUACGUCCGGGGUGAAAGCCCAGAGCUCAACUCUGGGACUGCCUUGGAUACGGGAUGGCUUGAGGAUCGGAGAGGCAAGGGGAAUUCCACGUGUAGCGGUGAAAUGCGUAGAGAUGUGGAGGAACACCUGUGGCGAAGGCGCCUUGCUGGCCGAUUUCUGACGCUGAGGCGCGAAAGCGUGGGGAGCGAACAGG